GGUUUCCAGAAUCCCCUUCACCUCAGCGGCGUCAGUGUCCAGGCUCCCCGUCUUUUUAGCUAUGGUUUCCAGGCCUCCCUUCCCCUCAGUGGCGGCGGUGUCAAGCCUCCCCGUCUUUGUAGCUGGGGUUUCCAGGAUCCCCUUCACCUCAGCAGCGUCAGUGUCCAGGCUCCCCAUCUUUGUGGCAGUGGUUUCCAGGAUGCCCUUCUCCUCAGCAGCAUCAGUUUCAAGGCUCCCCAACUCAGCGGCAGUCUCAAGUCUCCUCUUCCCUCCAGCCGCACUUUGGGGGCUCCUCCCCCCCUCAGAAGUUUCUUGGCCCCCCUUCCUGCCACUGGCGGUGUUGGGGCUCCCCUGCCCCCUGCCAAGGGUGUCUAGGCGGCCCCGCAGGGGGGUGGCAGUUUCCAGGCCCCCCUGGGCCGCGGGCGCCCCCUGCCGCCCGGCGGUUUCCAGGCCCCUCCAGGCCGUCAGCUGGGUCAGCGCCUGGGCGGCCUCGGUCUCCUUCAGCAGCGGGUCCGGGCGGCGGCGCUUGGCGGCCGGGGAGGGUGGUGCGGUCCGGGGGACCCCCCCGUCCCCGCUCAUAGUUCGCUCCGCUCAGGCCCGGGGGCGGGGCCGCGCCAGCCCCCUCCCGCUCAACCCUCGUUUUCGAACGGAAGAGGCACGAGGGGAGCAACGGCCGCCGCCAACUGCCAAACUCCAGCGCCUCGCGCGUCUCUCCCUACCCGCUCUGGUCCUCUUUCCCCUUCCCGCGCUGAUUGGCCAGCGGCAGGGCGGCCCUGCCAACGGCGAGAGGGGAAAGCCUUCCGUCCCACGUGGGGGGGAGACCCGGGCGGCGAUUGGCCGGCGGCGCCAGCAAUCGUGGCGGGUUCCGCCUUCGUCCCGCACCCCACGUGGGGGAUCCGGACGCUGAUACGACAGUCGCCUUCUCGGCGGCGGCCAAUGGGCAGGAGACGGAACCAGGCUUGGUGGAGUCGGUCGCGUCCGCCAGAGAUGGGGCAGGGCGGGGCGGCGCUGGGGCUCUCGGCAGUGUCACA
RNAcentral lists this long non-coding RNA (1031 nucleotides) under Gopherus agassizii (Agassiz's desert tortoise). RNAcentral's name for it is "lncRNA (ENSGAGG00000004321.1)". The record is from RNAcentral. Lineage: Eukaryota; Metazoa; Chordata; Testudines; Testudinidae.